Molecule: ribosomal RNA, 497 nt
Filed under: uncultured bacterium
Lineage: Bacteria
Description: partial 16S ribosomal RNA
Rfam family: Bacterial small subunit ribosomal RNA
Source: RNAcentral
GAUGAACGCCGGCGGCGUGCCUAAUACAUGCAAGUCGAGCGAACGGACGAGAAGCUUGCUUUUCUGAUGUUAGCGGCGGACGGGUGAGUAACACGUGGAUAACCUACCUAUAAGACUGGGAUAACUUCGGGAAACCGGAGCUAAUACCGGAUAAUAUUUUGAACCGCAUGGUUCAAAAGUGAAAGACGGUCUUGCUGUCACUUAUAGAUGGAUCCGCGCUGCAUUAGCUAGUUGGUAAGGUAACGGCUUACCAAGGCAACGAUGCAUAGCCGACCUGAGAGGGUGAUCGGCCACACUGGAACUGAGACACGGUCCAGACUCCUACGGGAGGCAGCAGUAGGGAAUCUUCCGCAAUGGGCGAAAGCCUGACGGAGCAACGCCGCGUGAGUGAUGAAGGUCUUCGGAUUGUAAAACUCUGUUAUUAGGGAAGAACAUAUGUGUAAGUAACUGUGCACAUCUUGACGGUACCUAAUCAGAAAGCCACGGCUAACUACGUG